AUGACAAUCAAUCAAUUGACAGUUCUUCGCGUUUAUUACGAGCACGUAUUUUGUGAUACAAUAUUAAAUUAUAUUACCGGGUCGAUUUUCCUGAGAGAACAAUACUCUUACUCAGUAACAUCUAACUAUUUAAUCACGACUCUAUUAAGAUUUUUCUCGAGAAUGGUGCAGAAAGGUCCUCGUCCGUUGGUGCUGUGUGGACCUUCUGGGUCAGGCAAGAGUACUUUGUUGAAACGCCUUCUCAAAGAAUUCCCGGAUAAAUUCGGGUUUAGUGUGUCGCACACCACAAGGAGUCCUCGUCCAGGUGAAAAGAAUGGUGUUCACUACCACUUCACCACCAAAGAAGACAUGAGCGCCGCUAUAGCGAGAGGAGAGUUUAUAGAGACCGCAACUUUCAGUGGCAACAUGUAUGGAACAAGUAAACAAGCUGUGGAUGAUGUGCGGUGCACGGGCAGGAUCUGUGUGCUGGACAUUGAGAUGGAGGGAGUGAAACAAGUGAAGAAAACUGAUCUCAACCCACUGCUGGUGUUUGUGAUGCCACCUUCCAUUGAGGAGUUGGAGAGGCGGCUGCGAGCUCGCAACACUGAACAAGAGGAUGCUUUGGCUAAGAGGCUGGAGACAGCACGCAAAGAAAUUGUGUUUGGUCAGGAGCCAGGGAACUUCCACAUCAUCAUUCUCAAUGACAAUUUGGACAAGGCAUACUCGGAGCUGCGUGAGUUUAUAUCUCAAAACAUGGAGGAAAAGGAAAGAGAUGACAAGGACAAGAAUGGCGGAGACAACUGAACAACCUUUGCAUGAAGCAUGAUAUCCAUGGGAUACAUAAAGAUGUGCAUAAAUGUUAUCCUCUGUAUUUGAUAUUUUUAAAUUGGUGUUAGUUGUGUGUUUAACACUAAUAAUGGCCCCAAUAAACAAGCAUCUAUAUGCUUUAAAAACAAAUCUAUGAGAAACUACCUCCUAUUAAAUUUUAACUGUUCUUCGAGGAUUCUAAGAAAACCGGCGCUGAAAUAUCCUUACUUAUCUGAUAAAUAUAUGUAUUAGUAUUAUUUGCUAAUUAAAUACUCGUCGAUUAGAAUGUAUCACCUCUGCUUUGAUGGCAAUGUGUAAGAGAUAUAAAGUUAUCAGCAAUUGUUUGUCACUAAAAGUGAAUUCAGUGAGGAGUUACAUUCUUGACAAGUAUUAUAUUUUUGUGGGGCUUAUUUUUAUAUAACUAUCAAACUCUCCAUUUUGGUGUUCAAUUUAAACCAUUCCAAGAAACUAGCAAUGCUGUACUGCUAUAUACAUGAAAUUAUUGUGAUUUGCAUAAUUUUUACUAUUUAUUAACUUGCCUAUUUAUUUAUUCCAAAACGGUGUUGCGUUUGCAAUUAAAAAUUUACGCGGAUUGUAUGCAUUAAGUGUUGUCUGUAUGUAUAGAAAAUAAAAGCAUUGAAAUCAA
RNAcentral lists this unclassified non-coding RNA (1432 nucleotides) under Helicoverpa zea (corn earworm). RNAcentral describes it as "guanylate kinase, transcript variant X1". The record is from RNAcentral. Lineage: Eukaryota; Metazoa; Arthropoda; Insecta; Lepidoptera; Noctuidae.